UGCUUCCUACGGGACGCAGCAGUAGGGAAUAUUGCUCAAUGGGGGAAACCCUGAUGCAGCGACGCCGCGUGGGUGAAGAAGCGCCUCGGCGCGUAAAGCCCUGUCAGCAGGGAAGAAAAUGACGGUACCUGAAGAAGAAGCCCCGGCUAACUACGUGCCAGCAGCCGCGGUAAUACGUAGGGGGCAAGCGUUAUCCGGAUUUACUGGGUGUAAAGGGGGCGCAGACGGCGAUGCAAGCCAGGAGUGAAAGCCCGGGGCCCAACCCCGGGACUGCUCUUGGAACUGCGUGGCUGGAGGGCAGGAGG
RNAcentral lists this ribosomal RNA (305 nucleotides) under uncultured bacterium. RNAcentral describes it as "bacterial SSU rRNA". It matches the Rfam family "Bacterial small subunit ribosomal RNA", at positions 333 to 655 of the family's 1533-position model. The record is from RNAcentral.